AAGUCGUAACAAGGUUUCCGUAGGUGAACCUGCGGAAGGAUCAUUAGAGUAAGAAGUGUGAGUGUAGGCUUUGGUCGGAGGGAACCGGAAGCCAUAGGUUUCGCCGCUCAGUCGUGAUGAACACAGGAUUUUUGUGCCGAUGCCGGCCGGACGUGAAACGGGAUAUCCUCUCUCACGAGACCUGCCUGUUAACUGCUAAGGCCCGCUGCGACAGACGGGACUGAAACUCCCGGAGUCGAGAAACAGCGUUGGAGCAUCGCAACCAAGGGCCUCUAAUCCUGGUGUGGUACCGGUGACCGGAAGACGGAGAACACUCCCGCCCACUGGGCGUCUCUUUGUGAACAAACCUUUCAAACUAUUUUCAGUUAUUAUUGCACCGUCUGAGCAGAGAAAGCAAAUCUUAUAAAACUUUCAACAACGGAUCUCUUGGUUCUC
This 435-nucleotide unclassified non-coding RNA is filed under the name fungal sp. RNAcentral's name for it is "partial internal transcribed spacer region". The stretch from base 1 to 46 matches the Rfam family "Eukaryotic small subunit ribosomal RNA", at positions 1786 to 1831 of the family's 1831-position model. Lineage: Eukaryota; Fungi. The record is from RNAcentral.